UCGUUCUGAUUUUCAGAACGUUUCCUCCCUAUUAAAACUUUCGGGCUGUGCGUUUGCAUAGCCCUUUUUUUAUUGCGUA
Molecule: small RNA, 79 nt
Filed under: Hirschia baltica ATCC 49814
Lineage: Bacteria; Pseudomonadati; Pseudomonadota; Alphaproteobacteria; Hyphomonadales; Hyphomonadaceae
Description: Makes More Granules Regulator RNA (mmgR)
Rfam family: Makes More Granules Regulator RNA (mmgR)
About the family: SuhB later renamed mmgR (makes more granules regulator) was a putative non-coding RNA found multiple times in the Agrobacterium tumefaciens genome and related alpha-proteobacteria. Other non-coding RNAs uncovered in the same analysis include: speF, ybhL, metA, and serC.
Source: Rfam by way of RNAcentral